RNAcentral lists this ribosomal RNA (506 nucleotides) under uncultured bacterium. RNAcentral describes it as "partial 16S ribosomal RNA". It matches the Rfam family "Bacterial small subunit ribosomal RNA", at positions 29 to 523 of the family's 1533-position model. The record is from RNAcentral.
AGUGAACGCUGGCGGUAGGCCUAACACAUGCAAGUCGAACGGCAGCACAGGAGAGCUUGCUCUCUGGGUGGCGAGUGGCGGACGGGUGAGGAAUACAUCGGAAUCUACUCUGUCGUGGGGGAUAACGUAGGGAAACUUACGCUAAUACCGCAUACGACCUACGGGUGAAAGCAGGGGACCUUCGGGCCUUGCGCGAUUGAAUGAGCCGAUGUCGGAUUAGCUAGUUGGCGGGGUAAAGGCCCACCAAGGCGACGAUCCGUAGCUGGUCUGAGGGGAUGAUCAGCCACACUGGAACUGAGAAACGGUCCAGACUCCUACGGGAGGCAGCAGUGGGGAAUAUUGGACAAUGGGCGCAAGCCAGAUCCAGCCAUACCGCGUGGGUGAAGAAGGCCUUCGGGUUGUAAAGCCCUUUUGUUGGGAAAGAAAUCCAGCUGGCUAAUACCCGGUUGGGAUGACGGUACCCAAAGAAUAAGCACCGGCUAACUUCGUGCCAGCAGCCGCCGUAA